Molecule: unclassified non-coding RNA, 5843 nt
Filed under: Leishmania donovani
Lineage: Eukaryota; Euglenozoa; Kinetoplastea; Trypanosomatida; Trypanosomatidae
Description: gene:LdHU3.14.1110(CDS-product:kinesin_putative)
Source: RNAcentral
GAGAAGCAAGUCGUGGGGGUUCACGUGUUUGCAUGCGCGCACGCACACCUACACCGCAGCUACCCGAACAAGUAGUCAUCCGCACUCGCACACAUACACCCGUUAGUGUGAGACAGAAGGUUUCGCAGAGGGCGGAGUUAACGGAGGGGGCAGAAAGUCGCUUGGGUCAUCGUCUCCCUCCUCCCUCUAUCCCGCCCGCCCCCCCCUCCCACUCACACACUCAGGCCCAUCACGCUAAUCGUGGUACCGUCUUGCUGAAGAGAAUUCCCGUCCUCCAUCCCCUCAACCCCGUGCUCUGCAGGACUGCGGUUGUAGUCGCGAUGAAAGACGUGGGCGGCGCAAGCAGCCCGCUUUACGACAGUGAUGGGGACGGCAUCCGCAGCAGUAGUGUGGGCGAGCCCCUUCGUCAGGACGGCCUACCAUUGUUGUCCAAUGCCCGCUCGGUCACAACGGCAAGCAAGAGCGUUGGGCUUGUCCGGCGAGAUAUGGCGACAGGCUUUCGCAUCGUUGUCGCCGCUCGCAUUCGCCCCUUCACUGAGCUAGAGGUGCACCAGUGGCGGCAUGAGCGGCGUGCGGCCGCGGAGGAGCGGGAGGACCCCGCGACAGGGCGGAACGGUAGCACGCGUUCAGCCUCGAGGCAGCCGUUCGGGCGGGAGCACAAGUCGCUUAAUGCCUCAUUGUUGGUUAGCACAACGCACGCUGGGGCCACGCCCUCGCAUGAGCUUAGAGGUGUGCCUCCGGACGUGUCUCAGGCGUCGCCCAACGUCGACGGUGUGCCACAGCCCGUCGUGGAGGUGGAGAGCAACGGACGAACCAUAGUCCUGCUCGAUCCGCAGAGACCGUCGUUGGACACGAACGCGAAGGCACCGGUGCGCAACACCUUCACGUACGAUUACGUCUACAGCAGCUUCACGCCGAGGGUGGAGCUGGACUCAAGACCCACAGGCGGGCUCGUUUUGCCCUCGGCCCCAGUGCCGCGGGCAGCCGGUGGCGAACCGUACAUCAUCGACGACACGACGGAAGACGCGUUUCCUGCUCGCGCCUCGCGGCCACAGUUUUCGUCACACACACUGGAGCAAGAGCGCCGGGCAGAGGCAGAGCAGGUUGCCAUCUACGAGCAGCUCGCCAUCCCCUUGGUAGACGCGGCGCUGCAGGGGUACAACACCUGCAUGUUCGCCUACGGCCAGACAGGAAGCGGUAAAACGUACACCAUGAUGGGAACCGCGCAGCAUCCAGGGCUGAUCCCGCGGCUCUGCCAGCUGCUCCUCUCGCAAGUCGCCAUGCGCAACGCCGAGGUCUACGAUGGCUGCGCGGCGUCGCCGUCCACGCGGGCUGCGGCCGUGGUACUGCAGCUUUCCUACAUGGAGAUCUACAACGAGCAGGUGCGCGAUCUGCUCAAGCAGCGGCCCAAGAACGCCAUCCUGCGCUACCGCAGCCGCUUCGACAAAAAGGAUAUGGAGAGCGGCGAGUUCCGCACGCUUAAGGUGCGCCAUCACCCAUCACAGGGCAUCUACGUGGAAGGACUGACGACUGUACCGGUGAGCACGUGGGCCGAGUGCGAGGCGUUUCUUCAGCACGGUAACGCGCUGCGCACGCAAUACAGCACGGCGAUCAACGCGAAGUCGAGCCGCUCGCAUGCAAUUUUUCAGUUCCAAGUGACGCAGCGCGAGGGCACGGGAAGCCGCGUGCGGGGGCGCGAAGUGGCACUGGAAACGUGUAGCAAGAUCAAUCUCGUCGAUCUGGCCGGCAGCGAGCGCAACACGCAGUCCAGGGCAACCGGCAAACACCUCGCAGAGGCAAACAGCAUUAACGCUUCUCUCUCCACCCUGCGACGGGUGCUGGACGGACUGGUAAACAAUUGCGGCAGCUGUAACCCGCAGGCGCUCGCUGGCGGCGGCAAAGUCAGAAAAGGUGCUGUCAUCCCGUACCGGGAGAGCCUGCUGACGUACGUCCUCUCCGACAACCUCGGCGGCAACAGCUUCACCGUGAUGUGCGCCAACGUCUCGCCCAGCGCGUCGAACAUCAGCGAAACGGAGUCGACGCUGCGGUACGCCACGCUCGCACGAGGGGUCGUCAACCACGCGCGGCUGAACGAGGCGCCGACAGCCCUCAUUAUUCGCGAGAUGCGCGAUCAGAUCAAGGCGAUGCAGGAGGAGCUUCGGAAGGCCCCGAACCCGGCCCACGUCGCGGAGCUGACGGAGGGUAUCCUGCUAAGCGAGCAACUUCUGCGCGAGAUGCGAGGAAGGGAAAAGAGGUAUGAGUUGCGGCUGCAGAGCAGCGAAGCGCAGCAGGAGGAGCUGCGGAAGGCAGUGGCGAGCCACCAGGCUGGGGAGGCGUACUGGCGUGCAGAGGCGCAGCGGCAGCAGGAAGAAUUGGAGUCGCUCCGCUCCGCCCUUGUGGCUAUAACGACCAGCAGCUCCACGGCAGACGCGAUCGGCGACAAGAAAGCGAGGUCGACAGGGCGUGCGUCAAAGCCGUGCCAUGCCUCACCACCGGAUCUCUCGCUCCACCUUCCUCAGCUGAACCAAGGCACCGACACCAACGGUGCGAGAGCCGCGUCUACGCUGCCUUUUUCUGCCGAUGAUCGUUACCUUGACGGCGAAGCUGUCGGCCCCACGCGGAGCCCCUCGACGGCCAAGAAGAAGCAGUCGGCAAAGAGGCACAUGGGGCUGACCCGUGGCGACGGCAGGAUCAGAAGGCACUCCGCCGCGGCUUAUGCGGCGGCAACAGAUUUCUACUCGCCUGGGGCGCGCAAGCGUAAGCCGUCCGUGGGGCGUGGCACGCCGCUCUCUCUCAUCGACCUCCGCGAGAACAAGUGUCUCGCCGGUGCCGUGCUACCGCAUCUCCGCGGGGGCAACUUCGCCAGUGCGCCGUGUAAGGCGCACCGCGAGAAUAGUCGACUGCCACCAGAGGGGGCGUCGCAGCCGCUGUCGCGUCGUUCCCUGUCGAGUGAGCGGCCGCAGCGGUCUCCACAUCCACCAUCCCAGCACCCGCAGCGCAGCCGCUAUUCAAACAGAGCCUCCAUCCGGAGGCCGUCGUCGAAACAAAACAAAGGUGACCGGUCGAGGCUCACGACAAGCACCACGGAGGAGGAAGCAGCGGAGACACCCUUUACCGUCGGCGGACGCUCGGGGCUUACUGCGCUGCAUAACGGCGGCAGCGGCGCUGUUGCGAGGGAUAGUGACUUGGAUGAGGCGCCGUCCUUCUACCAGACCGUCACCUACCUGACUGCGGAAGGAGCCGACCUAGAGGGCAGCAGCAGCGUUGCAACGCCAUCAUGUGCCUUGUCCCUCAAAGAGGGUGGCGAGGACGACCAGGUUGUGCUCACCGCCGAUAGAAGCGCGGGUAGGCAGCGUCCUGGCCAGCAACGCAAACCUCGCGGCUUGGACGUGCUGCAGCUGCAACAGAAACGCGCAGACACCCCGCAGAGCAGCCGCUGCAGCCCUCGCGAAGAGCCAGAAAUCGAGGGCGAGGCAGCCACUCCCACGUCCUCACGGCGGCCCACGAACUCGCCGGGGAUGUCCGAAGCGUGUCAAGCUCAGGCGGCGCGUGGCCGUCACCGCAGCCCCGUCAAUGUCGCGUCAGCGCCAAACAAGAAGAGAGCAAAGGCGAGUCAAGCCAUAGGCCACAAAUACAGCAGUAGCAACAGGGUGGCGGAUGAAGAUUGCCGGUUAUCACCAUCGCCGCCGUUACCACCACAACAACAGCAGGCGAGCAACGGCGGUGGCGGCAGUGUCAGGGGAGCAGCAACGGCUGAUGACCGCAAAACUAUGCACCGGCAACCAGCCGCUGUGCUCCCCGCCGAGGAAGAGAGCGGUGAGGAGUGCCAGUACGUGCAGAUCGCUGAUGAUGAUGAUCUGAAGCACGCGUUCGAAGGCGAGAGCGACGGUGAUGUGGCGCCCACGGCAUCGCAUCCCCGAACCUUUAGCGGCGAUGACGAUGCCGGCAUAGAGAGCGGCUGUAUGAGUAUUUUCGAGGGUCUCAUCGACAUGAUGCCUGCCGACAGCUCACGUGGGUGUUUAGGGCACCAUCUCCCCUACGCGACCGUCGCUGCUGCCGCGGAGAGCGCGGUGGCAUCCGCAGCGGCGGCGGUGGCGCCCUCGCCGGAGCAUGCGCUCUACUUAUCGGUUGGCCGGAAGCUAAAGCAGAACGGGAGGGCACAAAUGCACGCGAGCGGGUCACCCCCGUCGUGUGAUCAUCACUACUCCACAGUGGGCGCACUGAGCCCUCAGUCGUACUGGUGAGGUCGUACGCGCGCCCACCCGACGCUAUCCCCUCUCCUCGCUCGCCGCCCCUAGGAAGAGCCAAGGUUUUUGACACCGACACGGUAUCGCGAUACCGAUGGCUACCUUAGCCUUAGCACCCUUGGUGGCUUCUGUUUUUUCUCUCCCCACUUAUGUUUCCUCGUCUUCCAUGUGCAUACACAUGAGCACGGAUCUCUUGUUGUUUGGUGGUCGUGUUGUUCCUGUGCGCUAAGUCGUCUGUGUCAAGCCUAUUUCCGCAGUGAUGUUCGUCUGUGAUUGGUGUGCGUGUGCGUGUGUGUGUGUGUGUGUGUGUCUGUUCUUCAAAAGUGGAGGGGGCAUGAGGUGUGUGCUGCGGCAGCGUCUCUCGGUUCUCUCUUGUUCCGUGACUGCUCACAAUUUCUUUCGUUUUAUUUUACUUUGUGGGGGAGGAGGGUUUUGCUUUUCUCUUGAGCGCCCCCUCCUCCUCCUCCUCCUCCUCCCCCUCCCCCCCCAUCUGUGUGGUCUGCCCCCCCCUCUCCCACUGCUGGGCAGCGUACCAUGAUGUAGUUAGUGCUGCCUUCGACCAAGAGCGACUCGGCCUCCUUUCUUUCCCUUUCUCUUUCCCUCCAUAUGUCUUCCGAAGUGGCGCGGAACGCCUCAAACACCGCAGUUGCCCCGACCGCCAACCACCACCCCCAUUCACCCACCGGCCCUCUUAACCUAUCUUCUUGAACCUCUACUCUUUUCUCUCCUGUAAGCUUUCACCGGUAGGUUGCUGCGUGGUACAUGUGCUGUUUGGCGUUGGCGCUUGUGCCUUGGCACAGGGGGUGAGCGGCGUGGGGCGGCGCCCCAUCAGCGUUGCAACAAAGAGCAGUGCUGAAAACACGCACUCUCCUUGCACGGCCCCCACUCACCCACCCACCCACACCCUCUUUUCCUCCAUCUCUCAUGUUUCUGCUUCCUUUUUGUUUUUUUUUGUUUUUUUUUGGGGUGUCGUGCCACCACUCCUUGCUUCUGCCCUCUCUUUCUCGUUUAUGUGUAUAUGAAUAUAUAUAAACAUAUAUUUGUUUAUAUAUUUAUAUAUGUAUGGAUGUAUGUUAGUGAUGUGCUGCCCUUUAUAGAUGUCUCCGUGCUGUGUUCCCGUGUUCACCUCUCCUCUUUUUUUUUCACUCGUCUUCUUCUGUUUUGCACCUUUGUGUGGAGGCGUUUUGAUGUGUGCGGUGUGUGUGCAGGUGUUCUCUCAUGGCGAGAAAUCGCUGUUCUGUGGGACCUCUUCUUCGGCGUUCGCUAGCUUGUCGACGCUUGUGCACGCAUGUCUCGACGAGUGUGGGGAUGUGGUUGUGUACGCCCCUCACCGAGCGCUGCGUCUUGCGCGUCGCUCGGUCUUUGCGUGUGGACGAUGGAGUGGCACUGUGUACGUUCCUCCAAUUCAUAGAAGUGACGGACAUGUCCACAUUAAAGAUCAGUUUUUGUUGUCGCGCUCCACUCUACGUGUGGCGGCGACACAGCAGCCAAGCAGCAAACGUGAUGGCCAACGCAUCAUCAUCGCAUCACCACUUCCCCCACCACACCUGUUCUCCUCUUUGUGCCCGUAGCAUCGGCUCAUGUCUUCAGCGCAAG